This 94-nucleotide small RNA is filed under the name Rheinheimera sp. F8. RNAcentral's name for it is "t44 RNA". It matches the Rfam family "t44 RNA". Rfam says of the family: This family consists of a number of bacterial RNA genes of between 135 and 170 bases in length. The t44 gene is found between the map and rpsB genes in all species in the full alignment apart from Shigella flexneri. Lineage: Bacteria; Pseudomonadati; Pseudomonadota; Gammaproteobacteria; Chromatiales; Chromatiaceae. The record is from Rfam by way of RNAcentral.
CAAACUUAAGUUAAACAACACACAUACAUCGUCACAUAAGCCGGGGUGCUGAAGCUCGCUUCAGUCGGAUCUAUGGGAUGUAUGGAGGCCUAAC